This 301-nucleotide ribosomal RNA is filed under the name uncultured bacterium. RNAcentral's name for it is "partial 16S ribosomal RNA". It matches the Rfam family "Bacterial small subunit ribosomal RNA", at positions 509 to 809 of the family's 1533-position model. The record is from RNAcentral.
CAGCAGCCGCGGUAAUACAGAGGAUGCAAGCGCUAUCCGGAAUGAUUGGGCGUAAAGCGUCUGUAGGUGGCUUUUCAAGUCCGUCGUCAAAUCCCAGUGCUCAACCCUGGACAGGCGGUGGAAACUACCAAGCUGGAGUACGGUAGGGGCAGAGGGAAUUUCCAGUGGAGUGGUGAAAUGCGUUGAUAUCGGAAAGAACACCACGACGAAAGCACUCUGCUGGGCCGACACUGACACUGAGAAACGAAAGCUAGGGGAGAAAAUGGGAUUAGAUACCCCCGUAGUCCCUGUCUCUUAUACA